Molecule: ribosomal RNA, 1358 nt
Filed under: metagenome
Description: bacterial SSU rRNA
Rfam family: Bacterial small subunit ribosomal RNA
Source: RNAcentral
AUACACGCAAUGACAGCGGCAAACGGGUGAGUAUAAAGUUUGUAUCUCCCCCCAAGUCAGGGAUAGCCCAAAGAAAUUUGGAUUAAUGCCGGAUGUGCCCUACGGGGUAAAGCUUUCGGGCGCUUGGGGAAGAGCAUGCUUCCUAUCAGUUAGUUGGCGGGGUAAUGGCCCACCAAGACUAUGACGGGUAGCUGGUCUGAGAGGACGACCAGCCACAAUGGGACUGAGACACGGCCCAUACUCCUACGGGAGGCAGCAGUGAGGAAUCUUCCACAAUGGGCGAAAGCCUGAUGGAGCGACACCGCGUGAAGGAUGAAGGGUUUGUUCCUGUAAACUUCUUUUUUGUGGGAAGAUAAUGACGGUACCACAAGAAUAAGGGACGGCUAUCUACGUGCCAGCAGCCGCGGUAAUACGUAGGUCCCGAGCGUUAUCCGGAAUUACUGGGCGUAAAGCGUCUGUAGGCGGAAUGAUAAGUCGGAUUUGAAAGCCAGGGGCUCAACCCCUCGGUCUGUGUUCGAAACUAUCAAUCUAGAAUCGGGGAGAGGAAAACGGAAUUAUGUGAGUAGGGGUGCAAUCCGUUGAUACACAUAAGAACACCAAAAGCGAAGGCAGUUUUCUGGAACCGUAUUGACGCUGAGAGACGAAAGCGUGGGGAGCGAAAAGGAUUAGAUACCCUUGUAGUCCACGCCCUAAACGAUGAUAACUAAGUGUCGGAGUAAUCCGGUGCUUCAAGCUAACGCAUUAAGUUAUCCGCCUGAGAAGUACGGCCGCAAGGUUAAAACUCGAAUGAAUAGACGGGGACCCGCACAAGCAGUGGAUCAUGUGGUUUAAUUCGACAAUGAACGGGGAACCUUACCCAGGCUUGACAUGUCAGAAAUCCGGUGGCAACAUUGGAGUGCCCGCAAGGGAAUCUGAACACAGGCGCUGCGUGGUUGUCGUCAGCUCGUGCCUUGAGGUGUUCGGUUAAGUCCGUUAACGAGCGCAACCCAUGUCGUUAGUUAUUAUGUCUAACGAGGCUGCCCGAGUGAAUCGGGAGGAAGGUGUGGAUGACGUCAAAUCAGCAUGGCCCUUAUGCCUGGGGCCACACACAUGAUACAAUGGUCGGUACAAAGGGAAGCAAUGGAGCGAUCCGGAGCCAAUCCCAUAAAGCCGAUCUCAGUCCGGAUUGGAGUCUGCAACUCGACUCCAUGAAGUUGGAAUUGCUAGUAAUCGUGAAUCAGCCAUGUCACGGUGAAUAUGUUCCCGGGUCUUGUACUCACCGCCCGUCAAAGCAUGGGAGGUGUUUCUAUCGGAAGCCCCCGAAGUAAUAUUGGGGUCCAUGGUAAGAACACUGACUGGGCUUAAGUCGUAACAAGGUA